AGAAACAAUCAAGCAAUCCAACACGUGUACAAAGCUUUCUUUCUUAAUACAAAGCUUUCUUGCAAGCUUCUCUUCUUAGCUUCUCUUAGCUUUGUUGUGGCAAUAGUUCGGGGAAAGGCUGACUCAGCACAUCGCAGGGGCGAAUUGUGACUAAGGCCGCACGGAAGAUAGCUAGGGAGUUAUCCGGUCCGUGACACUAGGCUACGUAACCUUGUUACUUAAGUUUUAAAUAAAAUGUUCUUCAUUUUGCCAAAUAAAAAAAUGAAGAGGUUAAUAAGAAAAACAACCUUAACAUUAGUAUUUGUGUGUGUUGUAAUCAGUGGCGGACCCAAAAUUUUACUCAAGCGAAAUCAAAAAGAUAUUGAAGCCCCAAAAGUCAUCAACAUUAGGGAUUAUUGUUUUUU
This 404-nucleotide long non-coding RNA is filed under the name Nicotiana benthamiana. RNAcentral's name for it is "long non-coding RNA (NBEN_LNC008734)". Lineage: Eukaryota; Viridiplantae; Streptophyta; Magnoliopsida; Solanales; Solanaceae. The record is from RNAcentral.